Molecule: long non-coding RNA, 3118 nt
Organism: Ostrea edulis (European flat oyster)
Lineage: Eukaryota; Metazoa; Mollusca; Bivalvia; Ostreida; Ostreidae
Exons: 5
Source: RefSeq, a predicted model, not a curated record
UAUCUUUGAUUUGUAUCUGCAAUUCAUCUACUUCUAAUACCAGUAUCACCAAUUCGCCGCGAGUUACGUCCCUUUGCGGGGUCAACCAAAGGUCAAUCGAUGAAAAAACAAGUCUUCCUUCUUUACCUUACCAAAUGUAAGACGUUAUUACUUUGAAUUUUAGCCAAUUACCAAGUUUUCAUACAAGUUAAUGGGUUACCCCAAUCUGGGGCAUUAUUGUAGUUGACUGCAAUUAAUGGAAAAAUAACAGAUGUCAAAGCUACAGAAAAGACAAUUACAAAGGCCAAUGUAGGGAAAUACGAUUUUUAACCGGGAGAUGGCGGACAAUGGACGCAACUUGCGCGAAGUGUUGAUACGUGUAUACUCAUGAAUAUACACACCAGUUUAACGGAAAAACACUAGAUGCACAUAGGAAACAAAAUAAAUGCGAUAGGAAGAAAUACAAUUUCUCUGAAGAAAACGGAAGGGUAUAAGAAAUAAAUAAAAAACUUCCAGGAGGCCGAUGUUACAAAAUAAUGGGGGAUAUGCAAUCUGGAUAAAGCUUGUUAUUUUGUGCAGGUUUUACAAAGUACUUCGGUGUUUUCUUUCUCGUAUAUUAGAUUACUUCUUUAAACUGUUCAUUUCAUAUAGCUUUUUCGUUUUAUUUCGUCAUUUGUCGAUAACAGACGUACAAAGAAAUAUUGAUAUCAAUGUAAUGUCAUCGUCAAGACCGAAGGAAUAAAUAUGCUUUGCGCACCUAGGAAUUCGAAAUCUAAGAGCCCGUAUUACAGGACAGGAGAGGCUGAUUCAGUAGCCAAAUCAAGAGAUGUGGUACGGGUAACGGUAACGGUAAAGACGGCGACUAAUACAAUAUUGUAUAUCGCAUAUGCAACGUGCACCGCAGAACAGGAAAACACUUUUUUGGUAACCAAACCCGGUAUGCGCCAUUAUAUCUGCCGACGAAUAUUAAAUUAUUUCUACGUAGAUAUGAGGCUAGAAAGCGGAAAUGUGAGAACUUGUGUGAUUGCCUAGAUUUUACACGCUGGAUAAAAACAAACACCACGUGUGUUUUCUUCCACUCUUUACAGGCAAACAGUUUACAGUUAUAGACUGGAUCCGAGGAUUCAGCUGUUUUGUUUGGCCCAAGAACGGAUCAAUUGCCCAAAGCUGUAGGCUAAAACCCCCCAGCUAAGACACAGAUUUCAACUAUUUUGUUAAACACCUACGUUUUUAACGUUGUUUCUACUAGACGUACAUGGUCUGUCAUGGUUUGUUGACUUUGAAUUGAUAACAAGACAAUGUAAUUGCGUACGUUUAUCAACGUAUCCACUAGUUUAAAAGAAAAUAUACCCAAUAUUCUACAGAAUUAAUAAUCAUUAAUUCAAUUUUUCCUAUUUCUCCUCUGCAUUUUAUCGAGAAAAAUCUGUAUAUCAUCAGGUGUCAACCAAAUAAAUGAACCUCGCCAUUGUGUAUAUAAACAAAGCAGCAGGUCAAAAACCACGUGACUUGCGUAGCCAAUGGAAAUGGAGCAGACUAUUGCCCGGCCAACAGUUAUCGGUCAAUAGACCACAAGUGUGAGAGUUAGUUUAACAGUUCAAAUGUUUGUUCUAAAUCGCAUUAGUUUAAUAUAGGAAAAAAAAUCAAGAGUUUAGCAAAUUAUAAUAUGCAUUUUCUAUUUUGUAAUGGCAAAAUUUGGUUUCUGAGACAAUGAAAUCAAAAAUAGCAGUUACAUAUGACCAUGUUUGAAAAUUUGUGUACGAUUCUACGAGUGGAGUUGAGUUCAAGCUAGAAUGGGAGAUUGAAGCUACCAUAUCAAUGUAAGUAUCUAGACACAACUUUUUCCGAGGUCGAGUAAAAAAACCAUAUCAAUUUUAAUCAAGUUAUAUUAUACUUACUGACCAUGCAAAUCCAAUUUUAAGAAUCACUGUAUGUGUGUCAUCACAGACAGGUAAAAAUGAAUAUAAAAAUAAUUGAGAAGUUAAUUAUCUCACCUCUUUCAGAUUUCAAUUGGAGUCAACCACACAAUAUUUAAUCGUCUUUGUGACUGUGUGAAUGGCCAGGAUAAAUGCUACCACAAAACUUCACUUUUGUUAUAUGGUAGGUGUUCCUAAGCCGGGUGACGUAAUAUGCAUAGGAACUAGAUCAUGGUGACAAAAUUCCAUAAGGAUUGUAAAAAUUGAUGUAUCAAUAUGUAAGCAAGACUGAUGCCAGGGCAUCGUGGGUACAGCAUCCAAAAAGUGCACUGCCAAAAACAACUAAACUAAUGGAGGAGUUAUUUCCAACUCCACCUAAGUAGCAGAUAUAGCAAUCGACCAGAGAAAUAAUCACAUGUGGGUAUGGUACGAAAAAAUUAGACUAACAACAUCACAUCUUGGUUUAGUGCUUGUAGGAUGGGGAUGGAACAGGUAUCCCCAUCGUUGUUUAAACAGCUCAUGACCUUAUACCAUUUCUCAACAAGAAAGGCCAUUAUUUGGAGUAUAAACAAUGAAUGUGUUGCAAAAGAAAAGUACUGUUCCUAUGGAUAUGCUGUAGUUUCAAAUACAGAUAGAACUCUUUUUUUCAACUUUCUUUCAUGUAUUGUUGUAUAUGCUACCAAAACUGUCAUGUUAAUUCCUAUUAUGUCAUAUGUAUCUAGCGUUUUGUAAAGAUCACUUUGUUCAGGUAGUCACAUGUAAGCAACAUAUGUUGUCAAACGUUCUAUUUUUAUUUGACCCUUUAGCUUGUAAAAAGGCCUCUUGUUAGAAUGUACUGCAUAUAUAUCUAUAUUCAGAUGUUUGAAUUCGGAGUCUAAUGACGAUAGAAGGAAAUAAAAACAGUUAUAAAUAAUAUAGAUAUUUGUGCAUUGUUUGCUUUUUUAUUCAGAAAAAGUUUUAAUCCGAUUGAUAAAUAAUUAUUCUUACGUUCCGUAGAUUUGAGGUCCGCAUUCUUAUUUUUAUGUUUAUCAAGUAUGAAUCAUGUUGUGUUAAAGACACUAACUUCUGUGAUCAUUGUUAUUGUGAUCAGUUUUAAUAUAUAUAUUGUUAUAAAUAUAGAUUGUAUUUAGGUAUGUAUUUAGAAUAUGUAUUUAUAUAGGUAUGUAUUUAACUAAUUCAAUGAUGUGUUGACACCACGGACUAAUAAAUCAUGAGAAAAACAAAAA